Molecule: small nucleolar RNA, 107 nt
Organism: Capsicum annuum
Lineage: Eukaryota; Viridiplantae; Streptophyta; Magnoliopsida; Solanales; Solanaceae
Source: RefSeq, a predicted model, not a curated record
ACAUCCUGGUUGGGACAUUGGAUAAGAUUUCCAUUAAAUCUCUUCCACUCCGCAUAUAAAGGCUCUCUAUUCAAUUGAUGAAAGUUUGUGAUUUCUUCACGCAAUUG